GUACCCUCAAGCUCUGCUUGGUGUUGGGUGUUUGUCCCGCGUUGUGCGUGGACUCGCCUCAAAGCAAUUGGCAGCCGGCGUAUUUGCCUGGGAGCGCAGCACAUUUUGCGUCUCUCGGCCUGAACGCGGGCGUCCAUUAAGCGUAUAUUUUUGC
This 154-nucleotide unclassified non-coding RNA is filed under the name uncultured Ascomycota. RNAcentral's name for it is "sequence contains ITS2". The record is from RNAcentral. Lineage: Eukaryota; Fungi; Ascomycota.